Molecule: ribosomal RNA, 2315 nt
Filed under: Tetrahymena pyriformis
Lineage: Eukaryota; Ciliophora; Oligohymenophorea; Hymenostomatida; Tetrahymenidae
Description: large subunit ribosomal RNA
Rfam family: Bacterial large subunit ribosomal RNA
Source: RNAcentral
UAGUAAAUUUCAAUAAGUUUUUGAAAUUGAAAAUUAGAAAUCUACUUCUAAAACUUAAAAAAUUUAAAUUCUAUAGUAAAAAGUACCGCGAGGGAAAGGUGAAAAGAUUUUUAAUAUCUUAAAAGAACCUAAAAUUUAAUGCUAAAUACAGUUAAGGCUUUAUGUUUUAACGUACCUUUUGCAUAAUGGGCUAGCGAGUUUAUAUAAUUAGCGAGUAAUUUAUAAUAAAAUAAUAUUACGAAUCGAUAGAAAAUUAGUUAAUUAUAUAAGACCCGAAGCUAAGUGAUCUAAUUAUGGUUAGAUUAAGGGUAUUUAUACCUAAGGAUCGAACUCUUAAAUGUUGCAAAAUUUUGGGAUAAACUGUAAUUAGGGGUGAAAGGCUUAUCAAACUUAGUUAUAGCUGGUUUUCCACGAAACCUAUUUAAGUAGGGUGAUAUUUUAUUAUAAAAUUAGGUUUAAAUAACUAUAUCUAUAAUUAAUAUGUUAAUUAUAAAAUUAGUAUAUAAUAAUUAGUUUUAUUUAGAUAUUAAUCAGACUAUUAGCGCUAAGGUUUAUAGUCAAGAGAGAAACAGCUCAGAUUAAACAAUAAGGUCUACAAAAGUAAAUAAUUUUGGAGAUUGUUUUUAUUAUUAUCAAUAAGAUGUAGGCUUGGAAGCAGCCAUCAUUUUAAAAAAGCGUAAAAGCUUAAUAUUGAGUGUAUUAUUGUUUUAAAAUAAUAAAUAUAAAAAUAAUCAUAAAUGAAAAUAGAUUAAUUUUUACUUACCGAAUUGAUAAAUCGAAAGAUGGUAGUGGAACAUUUUGUAUAAAUAAAUAAAAUUGUGAAAUUUUAUAUCUUAUCAAUAUAGAUAAUGCUAGCAUGAGUAGUAGACAUAAUGUGAGAAUCAUUAUCGCCUGAUGUACAAGGGUUGCUAAAUUUGAUAAUCUUAUUUAGUGUAAAUCGGUUUCUAAAAUUUAAAUGUAUAUUUUUAUUGAUGAAUACGAAAUAUAAAAUUCUUAAUAAUCUAUUAAAUAUAUUACAUAAAAUUUUUUGUAAUAUAUUUAUUUAAUGGAUUAGUUGCUGGAAAUGUUUAUAUUUUUUUUACCGUACUAACUCUAACACAAGUGUACAAGUAGAAUAUAUAAUGGCGAAGGAGUAAAAAGUAUUGAAGGAACUAGGCAAAUUGACUCUGUAACUUCGGGAGAAAGAGGGCUUUAAGCAACUAAAAAGAGAGAGUAGCGACUGUUUAAUAAAAACAUAAGAUUUUGCUAAAUUUAAAUACGAAGUAUAAAAUCUGACACCUGCCCGGUGCUGCAAGGUGAACAAAUUUUGGUAAACGCUAAAAUUUUAAACCCCAGUAAACGGCGGCCGUAACCCUGACGGUCCUAAGGUAGCAAAAUUCCUUGGCGGGUAAGUUCCGUCCUGCAUGAAUGGUGUAACGACUGCUCUGCUGUCUCCAAUACUAGCUCUACGAAAUUGAAUUUUCCGUGAAGAUGCGACAAUAUUACAACUAGACGGGAAGACCCUAUGCACCUUUACUGUUAUCUGUAAAUAAUUUUUUUUUAUAAUUAACUAGACAAGUAGGAAAUUUAUAUUAAAAAUGGAAAACUACUUAAUUAUAUUUAAAAAUUAAAAAUAAAUUAAUCAUAUUAUCAAUUAAUUAUUUUGUUAUAGAAAGACAGUUUGACUGGGGCGGUCUCCUCCUAAAAAGUAACGGAGGAGUAUAAAAACUCGGGGUAUCUUAUUUUAAUUAAGAUCAAUAUUAAAAUGAAUUUUACUGAGUUUGAUUAGAGUACUUACAAGUAUUCUAAGGAUACAUGUCUAUCAUAUUGACCCGAUAUAAUUUUGUAGAAAAUAUAUCGAUCAACGAAUAAAAGGUACGCUAGGGAUAACAGGCUUAUGAGUUUUGAGAGUUCUUAUUAAUAAACUCGUUUGGCACCUCGAUGUCGGCUCAUCACAUCCUGAUGGUGGACAAUCUAUCAAGGGUCCGGCUGUUCGCCGGUUAAAGUGGUACGUGAGCUGGGUUUAAAACGUCGUGAGACAGUUUGGUCCCUAUCUGUUGUAAUUAUAAGAAAAUAAAUAAGAAUUAACUUUAGUACGAGAGGACUAGGAAAAUUUAAUCACUGGUUUGAAAAUUAUUUUAAUAAAUAAAAGUAUGGUUUUUAAGCUACAUUAAACAAAAUAAUUGCUGAAUAUUAUAUAAGCAAGAAUUUAACUUAUAUUAUUUUCUAAUAAAUUUUUUAAAGACUAUAUUAUUUAAGUUUUUAUAUAAGUGUAGUUAUAACUAACGAAUAUAUAAAAAACUUAUAAUUUAAUAUUUACUACAGUUUAGUUUAUA